GACGAACGCUGGCGGCGUGCCUAAUACAUGCAAGUUGAGCGCUGAAGGUUGGUACUUGUACCAACUGGAUGAGCAGCGAACGGGUGAGUAACGCGUGGGGAAUCUGCCUUUGAGCGGGGGACAACAUUUGGAAACGAAUGCUAAUACCGCAUAAAAACUUUAAACACAAGUUUUAAGUUUGAAAGAUGCAAUUGCAUCACUCAAAGAUGAUCCCGCGUUGUAUUAGCUAGUUGGUGAGGUAAAGGCUCACCAAGGCGAUGAUACAUAGCCGACCUGAGAGGGUGAUCGGCCACAUUGGGACUGAGACACGGCCCAAACUCCUACGGGAGGCAGCAGUAGGGAAUCUUCGGCAAUGGACGAAAGUCUGACCGAGCAACGCCGCAUGAGUGAAGAAGGUUUUCGGAUCGUAAAACUCUGUUGGUAGAGAAGAACGUUGGUGAGAGUGGAAAGCUCAUCAAGUGACGGUAACUACCCAGAAAGGUACGGCUAACUACGUG
Molecule: ribosomal RNA, 497 nt
Filed under: uncultured bacterium
Lineage: Bacteria
Description: partial 16S ribosomal RNA
Rfam family: Bacterial small subunit ribosomal RNA
Source: RNAcentral